UUUCCGUAGGUGAACCUGCGGAAGGAUCAUUAUCGUACAAAAUGUGAGGGGCAUGCGAGGGCUGUCGCUGCCCCAAAAGUCGUGCACGCCCGAGUGUGUCCUCUUGCAUAAUAAUCCAUCUCACCCUUUGUGCAUCACCGCGUGGGCACCCUUCGGGAUCAUCUCGGAGGGGGGCUCGCGUUUUCACACAAACCCCCCUUUUAAAAGUGUAGAAUGACCACAUUUAUGCAAUCAAUACAACUUUCAACAACGGAUCUCUUGGCUCUC
RNAcentral lists this unclassified non-coding RNA (267 nucleotides) under plant metagenome. RNAcentral describes it as "partial contains small subunit ribosomal RNA, internal transcribed spacer 1, and 5.8S ribosomal RNA". The record is from RNAcentral.